CCUUUGUACACACCGCCCGUCGCUACUACCGAUUGAAUGGCUCAGUGAGGCCUUCGGACUGGCUUAGGGAGGUUGGCAACGACCACCCCGAGCCGGAAACUUGUUCAAACUUGGUCAUUUAGAGG
Molecule: ribosomal RNA, 125 nt
Filed under: Pezizomycotina sp.
Lineage: Eukaryota; Fungi; Ascomycota
Description: partial small subunit ribosomal RNA
Rfam family: Eukaryotic small subunit ribosomal RNA
Source: RNAcentral